UAAGCCAAUUAUUUCAUCCCUACUGAGAGUGGCCAAGUGGGACUACAAUCAACUACGCUGACCUUAGUUAGCUAAAGGUGUGAUUUGACACCAAUGGGACCAAGCCCAAGCUCCCUGCCUGCAACAGGAAUUGUAACUAAGGAGAAAGGAGACUGAGUGUCCUUGGAAUCCGCACAUCCCAUUGACAGCUGGAUCCCAAAAUAACUACAGCUGCUCCAACAUCACCCUACCACCGUCAGUUGAUUAUGACUCCUGUUUGUUUACAUUCUAACAUCCAGCAUGGUGAACCUGCUGGAGUGGAAGCAAUAAGGGGUCCGAAUCGACUAGUUGCAGCUUCCUAGGUGCUGGCAUCACAGGUGUGCACCAAUGUGCCCAGCAUCACAGGU
Molecule: long non-coding RNA, 386 nt
Organism: Peromyscus californicus insignis
Lineage: Eukaryota; Metazoa; Chordata; Mammalia; Rodentia; Cricetidae
Exons: 3
Source: RefSeq, a predicted model, not a curated record